CCUACGGGAGGCAGCAGUGGGGAAUAUUGCACAAUGGGGGAAACCCUGAUGCAGCGACGCCGCGUGAGUGAAGAAGUAUUUCGGUAUGUAAAGCUCUAUCAGCAGGGAAGAAAAUGACUGUACCUGACUAAGAAGCCCCGGCUAACUACGAGCCAGCAGCCGCGGUAAGACGUAGGGGGCAAGCGUUAUCCGGAUUGACUGGGUGUAAAGGGAGCGUAGACGGCAGAGCAAGUCUGAAGUGAAAGCCUGCGGCCCAACUGCGGGACUGCUUUGGAAACUGGCCGGCUAGAGUACUGGAGAGGUAAGCGGAAUUCCUAGUGUAGCGGUGAAAUGCGUAGAUAUUAGGAGGAACACCAGUGGCGAAGGCGGCUUACUGGACAGUAACUGACGUUGAGGCUCGAAAGCGUGGGGAGCAAACAGGAUUAGAUACCCGAGUAGUC
Molecule: ribosomal RNA, 440 nt
Filed under: uncultured bacterium
Lineage: Bacteria
Description: partial 16S ribosomal RNA
Rfam family: Bacterial small subunit ribosomal RNA
Source: RNAcentral